CGGAGCUGGAAUUUCUUAGAGGAAGUAGCCGGUCAGGCAGAACAGCUGACAGCAUCCACCGCUGAUCUAUACUGUUCCUCGUCCUUCCAGGGAUCAGCAUGAAUAAAGCCUUUCAUGAAGCGGAGCAUGGCUGAAUUUAUCCCGUGUGUAACACAUGGAGUUCAAAGCUUCACACACCUGGAAACAGCAGCAGGGUUAUGUCACUGCUGCAGGUUUGUGAUGAAGUGGAGCGAAAACAUCCAGCUUUGGGAAAGAAGUGACAAAGAUUUGACUGCGUCUGCAAAAAGUGCUUCACCUGCCUCCAGAGAAAUCUCUGCCAUACCAGCUGUACCUGGAGGCCAGAGAGGAGGCUCUCGUUGAAGAGUUACCAGGAGUUAACAGCGUGACCUUCCAUCUCCACACACAACUAUUCUCCUGACUGGUCAAGACUGGAAAAUGUCCUUCUUCACCAAACGAGCUCCAAACGUUGUGA
Long non-coding RNA from Melanotaenia boesemani (Boeseman's rainbowfish), 472 nucleotides. RefSeq lists it as uncharacterized. Lineage: Eukaryota; Metazoa; Chordata; Actinopteri; Atheriniformes; Melanotaeniidae. The transcript is spliced from 3 exons. The record is from RefSeq and is a predicted model, not a curated record.